This is a non-coding RNA of Manis javanica (Malayan pangolin), 2469 nucleotides long. Lineage: Eukaryota; Metazoa; Chordata; Mammalia; Pholidota; Manidae. The record is from RefSeq and is a predicted model, not a curated record.
CACAGGAAUCCACUCCUGGUCAACCCCUUGACGUAGUAAGCAGUCAUCAAGGGGUCACCCACAGGCCCGAUGAGGGUGAUGACUGGCUCCUGGCAGAUGGAAGUCCUUGAUCUGGAAAGUGUUAAAUUUCCCUCUACCUGGUUCAUUUUCAAGAAAUGCAGACAUUCGUGGUAAAAGACGGCAAUCCCGGCCAUGAUGGAGGAUGUGGUUACAUUUCCGACCCCGUCCCACCACACGUCGGAUCUUUCCAGCAGCUCCAUGUGCUGCGUCCUUGAACCAAGCUUCAGCAUUUGCCACCCCAUCCCCUCUCUACUCGUCAUCCCUGCCACUUGAAUGCUGCCGCUGGAGAUUCCCUUCAAUAAUGAUAAUGACAGUGAAUAUUGAUUGAGCACCUACCGUGCGCUGGGUAUCUCACUGAAGGCCAGGCAUGGAUGACAUCAUUUGCUCCUCUCCAUAACUUGUGAGUUCUGUAUUCCCAUUUUACAGAUGAGGACAGCGAUGUUAGGGAAGUCACAUUAUGUACCCAUGGAUACACAACAAGGAGACACCGAUCUGGGAUUUGAAUGCUGCAGGCUGAUUCCCUAGCUUGUUCUUAACCACCGAGAAACCCUGCCCUCCAUUGACAAGCCGGCCUCAUCCAUUGCUGCCAUCCAUGGACUCCUGUGGAUCCCUGUUGCUCAUAAAGGCCACAAACACUCCAUUAUGGAAUCCACAUCUUUUAAAACUGGGUUUCUGGUUCAUCUCCUGGGCUCUCCUUCCGGCCUCACCUUACCACCAUCACUCUGCUCUCCGGACAGACCAGACUCCCCCAUCACCUGGCCACAUGGCCACCUGCACACAUGCCAUUUCCUCCGACGACCACUGCCAUACUUUCCCCACCAGUCAAAGUCCUCUGCAGGCCUGAAGACCCAGCCCUCCAGUUCCGUCCAUUCUGAAGUCACAGGUGACUUUUCAGUCCCUCUCAGGGUACUGUCAGAGCACACCAUUCCUGUUUGGAUUUAACCUUAUCACGUUAUGCUGUUCAGGGCAUUGGAGAAGAGCACGGUGUGUGGGUCCGCCCAGCCUCUACUUCUCACUAACUGUGUGACUGUGUUCAGGUGACUUCACCUCUCAGAGCGGUGGUGUCCCCCAUCUGCAAAAUGGCUCUGAAAACGGGGUUAACUGCCUCCCAGGGCUGUCCUGAUGCUGCGGGGGGGAGCUGGACUCUGGACUACUGGACAUAGGGUUGGAGAGGUUGCCCGGGAUCCCCUGGCCCCUGCUUCAGGUUUCUCCUCCCAGGUGCAUUUACCUGGGAACUGGAAGAUGCCUGGGCCUGUGUAAGGCUUUCCUGGUAAGGUCAUAGAUGGCGCGGGUUCUCUCAGAAAGGAGGUGGAAGCUCCAAGCAAACAGGGUUCAAGGGCCCCAGGAAACAAGCUUCCCUGGGGUCUGGCUGGCCAGUGGCUUUUGGGGUAGGUCUAAGCUCACAGAGCUGCAUGGGGUGGGAAGGGCUGGGGCAAGGCCUUCUCCACCAACCAAGGCCCAUCGAGGAGUCUGCAGAGGGGUCACCAAGAUAAUCGUGACCAUCACGGGCACAGGACAAAGUUAAGAGCUUUACAAAUGCUACUUAUUUUUAAUCACUGUAACAGGACAGACCUGUUCUUUACCCUCUGCUUGUGGCAUCUCCCCAUGGUCUCGGAGGGCUGAGGACUGGGGUCAUCUCCCUGGGUACAGAAAGGACAGUGGGCUGAGGGAAAGGGCACCUGACCUAUUAGAAAUGUGUGAGAGUGUAUGUGCCUGUGUAUGCCAGUGGGCACCUGCAUGAGCACCCGAAUCGCAUCCAGUGAGCACCCCACUGCCCUCACACCCAGACACGUGCAUGGGCAUGCACACUCAUAUGCCUGCGCACACCCUCCCCCCCCUCACGAAGCCGGGCACGUACCCCUCCUUUGCCAUCCCCUCUUCUUCCUCUCUCUGCCCCAACUUGUUCGGUUGCCUCAGGAAAACCUCCCAUCUUCCCCAAACCUGCUGCCGCAGCCCAGUGCCAAACUCCAGGGGCCUUCAGUCCUCAGUGACUGAGGGGACGGGUCCAGCCUGCAGCACGGAGGAGAAAACGGCCGCCAUCUCUGCAUGGAGCCGUGCUCCCAGUGGGAGGAGGUCAAAGCCCACGCAGUCUGCCGCUGGGGCUUGCGGCGUGGCCUCGGGGUACUCCCUGCCUCAGCUGGGCCCCUGGACCCUGCACGUGUGGCUCCUUUGCCAAGAACCCUUGUUCCCCAUCCUCCUCUUUGCCUAAGUCUUCCUCCAUCUUCCUAAACAUCACCACCUCCAAGAAGCCUUCUCUGAUCCCCAGACUGAGUUAUGCCUCCUCUGGAUGCCCUCAGUUGCCUCAGUUUCCCCCAUCAGAACACCUAAUAUACCAAAUCAUAAUUGCCUGACUGAGUUCAGAAGCCACACUUGUUCACUGCAUUAUCUCUGUGACCCAGUGCAUAGGAA